RNAcentral lists this ribosomal RNA (244 nucleotides) under uncultured bacterium. RNAcentral describes it as "partial small subunit ribosomal RNA". It matches the Rfam family "Bacterial small subunit ribosomal RNA", at positions 26 to 285 of the family's 1533-position model. The record is from RNAcentral.
AGAAUCAACGCUGGCGGCGUGCCUAACACAUGCAAGUCGCACGAGAAAGUGGAGCAAUCCAUGAGUAAAGUGGCGCACGGGUGAGUAACACGUGAAUUAUCUACCUCCGAGUGGGGAAUAACUGAGAGAAAUCUUAGCUAAUACCGCAUAACACUUACGAGUCAAAGCAGCAAUGCGCUUGGAGAGGAGUUCGCGGCCGAUUAGUUAGUGGCGGGGUAAUGGCCCACCAAGACGAUGAUCGGUA